This is a non-coding RNA of Sus scrofa (pig), 2193 nucleotides long. The record is from RefSeq and is a predicted model, not a curated record. Lineage: Eukaryota; Metazoa; Chordata; Mammalia; Artiodactyla; Suidae.
CUCAACUGAAGUUCCUCUGCUGAGCUUUACAGAGGCAACUUGCAGUAUUACUCAAGGCGACGUACACCGAGAAGGUAAAAACAGGGACGCCUUUUGCUUGAGCUGCUGGCUCACUAGAUAGUCUUAGGUUAUCCUCUAUUAGAGAAAACCGACCACCUUAUUAUCACCACCAUCUAGUGAUGCAGAGGCUCUGUGCUUUCCAGUAUCCAGAGUACAUCAUGGGCAACCAUGACAAUCACAGUACACAGCCCCCUCUCCCAUCUGCAAAGUCCAGACGCUUCAGAUACCACAACAGGAUCCCGCAUAAUCGAUGAUCUACCACUGGCAUAUUGGUUAUCAUAAGUGGAGCUCAUCGGUCUUCUUUAACAAAUUAACCAGUAGAGAGGAGCAAACAGACACACCUGUACAGCUGGAGUUGGGCACUGCUAUCUAUCUUUGAUGAACAAAAAGAUUAAACAUAAAUCUUUCUGAACACCCUCAGAGAAAGCUAUUUUUAAUACUGUUUCCUGAUUUUUAAGCACAUGUUGAACUCCCACCUUGCCUGUAACUAUAACAUCUGCCUCUAAGUUUUAACACACUGGCUUACGGUCAUCUAAUUCCAGUUUUGUCCCCUUGAAGUAGUAGAAACUUAGAGGUCUCCCACAGCGAAGGAGGGAAAGAGCCAAGAACAGGAAAUAAAUCUCCGGCUUCUGGUUCACACUUGAGGUUAUGCCCUUCCUCCAGUGACCAGAGGAAAGUAUUUGCGUGUGAUAAUCCUAAUUUUCGAAGGAUUGUUAUCAUCCAGCUGUGUUUCCAAAAGAUUCGGGAAAGCCACGGUGGCCCCAGACAACAAGAACAGACCCGUCUGAUCCUGGGAAAGCUGGGAGAACCAGCCAAUGAAUGGAUUGUACAUUUACACAUCCAAAUGGGCAGCAAAGCAAAGGAUCUUGAAACCAUCCUGCAUUACCAGCUAGGAAUACAUCAGCAAAAGAACUGUGCAAAUCAAGAGCUGCUUUGGGGAAUUUUGUUCUACUGAUGUUGUAUUAAGGAAAAGCUGGUGUUUUUCAGUCCAGGUGUGAGUAUUCUAUUUCAGACACAGCUUCCUCAGAGCAAGUCCUGUCUCUCCCCCUUGGUCCAUUCCUUGGCUUUUUUCCCCCAGGCUAGCCUAAACACGGCUGCUAAAACCCCCCAAAAUUAGACACUAAAAGAGCCCCACUGUGAUGAAUCCGUAAACACUGUCCACUCCAGCAAAGGGGGAAUUGAUCCCUUUAAUUCUUCAAUGAUGACAAGCACGACUUGUCAAUCAUCCUUUCAAACUCAGUCCUGAAGCACAGAAGCUUCAAAAGUUGGACUGUGCAAAUCAGGGAAUUGGGUUUGGGAAACAGCCAGGGGCACCACAGAGCAGGAAAGUUACUCCUGCACGAGGCCAGUGGUGAAUACUGAUGUUAUCAGACAAUGUGCAUCUAACCUGGGAUCUGGCUAAAACGUCCCUUAGGACAAGGACCACUUAGAAGGGACACGUUAGAAUAUUUUUACGCAUUUGGGAUAUUAAUAAUCCAAUCAGGCCUGCAAUGAUCACAUUUGAUUAACCAGUUUCGAUAAUGAAAUGUUUUUUCUCUGCAGGACACAAGCAGUUUUCUCUAAAUGUGCUUAUUGACUUCAGAUGGUAUUUCUAACUUAGCAUGUCCUAAAUCACGGUGCCUAGCCCAGGGACUGACACAUUGCAGAUGCUCGAUAAACAUGCGUUGACCAGACUUCCUGGUCACCAGGGGCUUUUACUUUGCCACCAAUGCUUUCUAAUUCAAAGGUUACGUGAGCUUGAUACACUAUGGCUUGUGAAAAGGAACUAAAGAUAUGUCAGCCGCUCGCCCCAAGUCUGGCCUUUGUCCCAUACCUCAGAGCAAAAGCUCCAUUGCCCAGCAUUCUUGUCCACUCAGCUUCAAUUGUGUCUCAGUUUCCCGACUAACAAGACAAAAUCAGCUGAGCCUGGGCUUCCAUCCCCUUGGGCAAGUUGUUUCAAAACUACAUCUGAUUUUUUUUUUUUUUUUAAGGAUAACAAAGAUAAAAACCCAUGCGCCUACCACCAGCUCAAGAAAUACCAUAUAGCAAAUACCUUUGAAGCUGGUUAUUUCUCCUUCCCAAAGGCAAAUGCUACCUUGAAUUUGAUGUUUAUAAUUCCCUUGUCUUAAAAAAAAAAAAAAAAAAAAAAAAAAA